Molecule: ribosomal RNA, 746 nt
Filed under: uncultured archaeon
Lineage: Archaea
Description: bacterial SSU rRNA
Rfam family: Archaeal small subunit ribosomal RNA
Source: RNAcentral
UCAGACUCGCGGCACCGAGCUCAGUAACACGUGGCCAAACUACCCUACAGAGACGGAUACCCUCGGGAAACUGAGGUUAACCCGUCAUACCGAUCUCAGGCUUGAAUCGCAGAGAUCACAAAAUGCCCCGGCGCUGUAGGAUGUGGCUGCGGUUGAUUAGGUAGACGGUGGGGUAAUGGCCCACCGUGCCCAUAAUCAGUACAGGUUGUGAGAGCAAGAACCUGGAGACGGAAUCUGAGACAAGAUUCCGGGCCCUACGGGGCGCAGCAGGCGCGAAACCUUUACACUGCACGCACGUGCGAUAAGGGGACUCCGAGUGCGAGGGCAUAUCGUCCUCGCUUUCGUGUACCGUAGGGUGGUACACCAACAAGGGCUGGGCAAGACCGGUGCCAGCCGCCGCGGUAAUACCGGCAGCCCGAGUGAUGGCCGAUCUUAUUGGGCCUAAAGCGUCCGUAGCUGGCUGCGCAAGUCCGUCGGGAAAUCCACUCGCUCAACGAGUGGGCGUCCGACGGAAACUGCACAGCUUGGGACCGGAAGGCUCGAAGGGUACGUUCGGGGUAGGAGUGAAAUCCCAUAAUCCCGCACGGACCACCGAUGGCGAAAGCACUUCGAGAAAACGGAUCCGACAGUGAGGGACGAAAGCCAGGGUCUCCAACCGGAUUAGAUACCCGGGUAGUCCUGGCCGUAAACAAUGUUCGCUAGGUAUGACACAGACUACGUGUCUCUGUUGUGCCGUAGGGAAGCCG